CCAAUAGCGUAUAUUAAAGUUGUUGCAGUUAAAAAGCUCGUAGUUGAAUUUCGGGAUCAGUACGUCGGUCGUGCCUUCGGUAUGCACUGGUGUCACUGAUUCCUCCCUUCUGACGAACCGUCAUGCCAUUCACUUGGUGUGGCGGGAAAUCAGGACUGUUACUUUGAAAAAAUUAGAGUGUUUAAAGCAGGCUCACGCUUGAAUACAUUAGCAUGGAAUAAUGAAAUAGGACGUUGAUCUUAUUUUGUUGGUUUCUAGGAUUGACGUAAUGAUUAAUAGGGAUAGUUGGGGGCAUUAGUAUUCAAUUGUCAGAGGUGAAAUUCUUGGAUUUAUUGAAGACUAACUACUGCGAAAGCAUUUGCCAAGGAUGUUUUCAUUAAUCAAGAACGAAAGUUAGGGGAUCGAAGACGAUCAGAUACCGUCGUAGUCUUAACCAUAAACUAUGCCGACUAGGGAUCGGAUGAUGUUAAUUUUUUAAUGACUCAUUCGGCGCCUUACG
This 499-nucleotide ribosomal RNA is filed under the name uncultured Glomeromycotina. Its description in RNAcentral is "partial small subunit ribosomal RNA". It matches the Rfam family "Eukaryotic small subunit ribosomal RNA", at positions 591 to 1092 of the family's 1831-position model. The record is from RNAcentral. Lineage: Eukaryota; Fungi; Glomeromycota.